CAGCUGCUUCUGAGACUAUUUUAUGAUCAUUGUAUAUAACUGAUACUAUUUUAUUGGACCCUGAUACAGGGGACUGUUAUGAUCUGUUUAGAUUCUAAUUCAACUAUUGUAUUUUCACAUCUAGUAUGUCUACUUCUGUUAAAUUACUUGUAAUUCUGAAUCCAUAUAUGAUUAAAGUUUGCAUUAAUUGGUAAUUAGGUAUGAGCAAAACUUUAUCAUGAAAUAUCUAUCUUAGACUUAGCACCCCAAAUGGCUAUAUAAUGUUUAAAAAAUUAGAACACAUUCAGAUUCACUAGAAUCAAUUCAAUUGCAUAAUAAUAAACAUAUUUUAAAAAGGAAAUCUCUUAUAAAAACUGAGUCAUACCUUCCGUAGGCUUUUGUUUUGUAGCCCCUGAUCUCCAUAUGGGAUUCUCUUGGAAUCUUGGAGCUGUUUGGCCUGUUGAGUCAGAGAGAAGAAAUACUCUGGAAUUUACUUGUCUGAUAAAUUUUCUCUGAACUGAACACUUCUUCCUGGAAGACAAAGGAAAGCUCAUAAGGCUCAGGAACGUCAUGAAAUUUACAAGACCCAUAAAGCUCAGAAAGGCACAAGACUUUAAGGCUUCUCCUCAAUGUUUUAUACCGAGUAAUCAGCUGCUGGGGAAGAAAAGACUUUGCAGUGGCAAUUCCUGCUAUACAAACAAGGGAAUUCCAUGUCAUAUAUGCUGAGGUAGGGAUAUUUGGUGAUGUGGCUGUAUUAUAUAUAUAUAUAUAUAUAUAUAUAUAUAUAUAUAUAUUCACACGCACACAUAUAUACAUGUACUGUGAGGAGCAGGUGUGGCAAUAGUCCCAAGAUGGCGCCCGGGACUGCAGCCAAGUCUUAUGACUUGCACCUAGAACUUCCUCAUACACCCGAAAAUAAGCCAUGUCCAUCGUGAGAGCUGCGCAGGCACACCAUGACACAAGAUCAGGCCAUUUGACGAAGGCCAAUGAACUGAGAUUGCGCGGACUGGGCUGAUGGGGCGUGGCUGAGGGGUGAUAUAAGGGAUUGCGAUUGGGGACUAGGGGAGAUUCCUGCUUGCAUGUUGAAAGGUUCCUGAAUAAACUGCUUUGAGA
Molecule: long non-coding RNA, 1092 nt
Filed under: Mus musculus (house mouse)
Lineage: Eukaryota; Metazoa; Chordata; Mammalia; Rodentia; Muridae
Description: predicted gene, 35330
Source: RNAcentral